GACGAACGCUGGCGGCGUGCCUAAUACAUGCAAGUAGAACGCUGAAGGAGGAGCUUGCUUCUCUGGAUGAGUUGCGAACGGGUGAGUAACGCGUAGGUAACCUGCCUGGUAGCGGGGGAUAACUAUUGGAAACGAUAGCUAAUACCGCAUAAGAGUAGAUGUUGCAUGACAUUUGCUUAAAAGGUGCAAUUGCAUCACUACCAGAUGGACCUGCGUUGUAUUAGCUAGUUGGUGGGGUAACGGCUCACCAAGGCGACGAUACAUAGCCGACCUGAGAGGGUGGUCGGCCACACCGGGAAUGAGACACGGCCCAGACUCCUACGGGAGGCAGCAGUAGGGAAUCCUCGGCAAUGGACGGAAGUCUGACCGAGCAACGCCGCGUGAGUGAAGAAGGUUUUCGGAUCGUAAAGCUCUGUUGUAAGAGAAGAACGAGUGUGAGAGUGGAAAGUUCACACUGUGACGGUAUCUUACCAGAAAGGGACGGCUAACUACGUG
RNAcentral lists this ribosomal RNA (495 nucleotides) under uncultured bacterium. RNAcentral's name for it is "partial 16S ribosomal RNA". It matches the Rfam family "Bacterial small subunit ribosomal RNA", at positions 28 to 507 of the family's 1533-position model. The record is from RNAcentral.